GUCACUUUAGCAUCGUAUACACCACAUGACCCCACAAACGUUUUUCAGUUUAAUAAUUAAUAUUUCUUGUUGUUUUCAUAGGAUGAUGGCUUGAUGUUGCAGUGUGAAUUGUGCAACAGAUGGCAGCACUGCAUCUGCUUUGGUUUGGUGACAGAAUUAGAUGUGCCUUCUAUCCACUGUUGUGUCGUGUGCUCUAAAGAAUGUACUGAUCCUAAUUUGGCUACUCUCCACGGUGUUGCUCUACGUGCGAUGUGUCUUUGACGGAAGGCAGUUUUUGCAGUCUUGACUGAACACACAUCAGACCCGUUUACUAACUCUGAUCUCGCAGAACGUUUAGACAUUGAAAUGAGUGUAUCUCAGGGUAUUCUCAGACGUCUUGAAAGAGAAGGAUUUGUGAAACCCAAAUGCAGCAUAGGAAGGUAUUUUACUUGAGAGGGAAAAGUCUUUCAUUGCAGCAAAGACGUUAUCUGUGCUGGAGCUCAAAGAGUAUUUCAAGGAGUCCAUUAAAACGUUUCAGAUGAAAGGCAACUCUGCUGGCUGCAAUGUUCAAGAAAAUCAGGUCGAGAGUUUAACUCAGAAGACAGCAGGACUGCAGCUAAUCAACAGGAAAAGGGCAAUCACUGACUUGACAGAAAACAGCUUUCAUCAUGAAGAGAGCACCACCUCUCCGGAUAAACGUUUGUACUCCAAACGUCUGGCAAAGAGAGCUUUAGAAAGAAUGGGAGCACCACCUCCAGCUGAUUGUACUCAUGACUCAGAACUGAAGGACAGUCAACCAAAACGACGUAAACAAAGUAUCAGUAAGAAAGCAAUUCGAGUGUGACUGUUGUGAGAUGACAUACCAUUGAAGGUGAUAGAGUGAGGUGAAUAUAGAAGGAUUAGUGUCUGUUGUCAGGUAAUAUUAGGAUACAGUUAUAGUACACACCAAGGACACAUACAGUUAUCAGAAAUCUUACCAUUUUCCAUGCAUGAUAUAAGUUAUGCUUGCUGCUUUACCAUUCACUUUGAGCAUCACUAGAUUUCGUAUGAUUAUGUCCUCUUCGCAUUCUCAUAACAGAAUUCUGGCUGGCUGAUAUACUUAUGUGAAGUAGUGGGAAUGGUUGCCAGAUGUGUUAUGUUGAUUUUGUUUUAAUGUAGAAUUUAGAGUGCAUGGUUAAUGGAGGGUCUAUUACAAGUACAUAUGUCUACUUGUACAUGAA
Molecule: RNA transcript, 1199 nt
Organism: Corticium candelabrum
Lineage: Eukaryota; Metazoa; Porifera; Homoscleromorpha; Homosclerophorida; Plakinidae
Exons: 6
Source: RefSeq, a predicted model, not a curated record